Molecule: non-coding RNA, 193 nt
Filed under: Callithrix jacchus (white-tufted-ear marmoset)
Lineage: Eukaryota; Metazoa; Chordata; Mammalia; Primates; Cebidae
Description: Eukaryotic large subunit ribosomal RNA
Rfam family: Eukaryotic large subunit ribosomal RNA
Source: Rfam by way of RNAcentral
UAAUUAAUAAUCACAGCAUCGUGAAGGCCCGCAGAGGGUGUUGAUGCGUUGUGAUUUCUGCCCAGUGCUCUGAAUGUCAAAGUGAAGAAAUUCAAUGAAGCGUGGGUAAAUGGCGGGAGAAACAAUGACUAUGACUUGCUUAAGGUAGCCAAAUGCCUUGUCAUCUAAUUAGUGACGCGCAUGAAUGGAGGAA